ACGGAAGGCAGCAGUAGGGAAUAUUGGUCAACGGGGGAAACCCUGAACCAGCGACGCCGCGUGAGUGAAGAAGUAUUUCGGUAUGUAAAGCUCUAUCAGCAGGGACGAUAAUGACGGUACCUGACUAAGAAGCCCCGGCUAACUACGUGCCAGCAGCCGCGGUAAUACGUAGGGGGCAAGCGUUAUCCGGAUUUACUGGGUGUAAAGGGAGCGUAGGUGGCCAUGCAAGUCAGAUGUGAAAACCCGGGGCUCAACCCCGUGACUGCAUUUGAAACUGCGUGGCUGGAGUACAGGAGAGGUAAGCGGAAUUCCUAGUGGAGCGGUGAAAUGCGUAGAUGUUAGGAGGAACACCAGUGGCGAAAGCGGCUUACUGGACUGAAACUGACACUGAGGCUCGAAAGCGUGGGGAGCGAACAGGAUUAGAUACCCUGGUA
RNAcentral lists this ribosomal RNA (434 nucleotides) under uncultured Lachnospiraceae bacterium. Its description in RNAcentral is "partial 16S ribosomal RNA". It matches the Rfam family "Bacterial small subunit ribosomal RNA", at positions 341 to 792 of the family's 1533-position model. The record is from RNAcentral. Lineage: Bacteria; Bacillati; Bacillota; Clostridia; Lachnospirales; Lachnospiraceae.